UGUGUAUUAAACUCCUGCCUUAAUUUCUUUGACUUACCAUUUCCAGUUCCCUUUCCACUCAUAUAUCUUUUCUUGCCCUGAAAGGGAAUAGCUUUAUGGAUACAUGAGUGUGCAUAUAUGAAGUUUUUGGAAAGUGAUCACCAGCAUACCACUCAAAGGUACCUUGUCUUCCUCCAAACUGUGCUCUCUUGCUUUUGAGAGAGGUUAGAAACCAUUAAUCAGCCUCCUAGGGAAUGGACAGCUGUUAAAAAUUACUCAUUGUGUUCUAGAGUUACAGAUGUAAAGACAAGGGGGAGGGGAGAUUUGGAAAAAUGGAACCCCCCACUAUUUCCCAUCCCUCCAUUCAUUUCCCACCCUUGGUCCUCACUUUUCUAUCUAAAGUAUAUUCUCAGUUCAACCGUUGGAUAAUUGUUACACGCAACUUGGCCCAUUUAAGACACUCCAAAAUCAGAAGUGUGGAUUUAGUCGACAACCCCCAUUCCUUCUGUGUUGACACAACAUCCUCAACUCAGGUUAACAAAAUACAAUGGCUGUGCUCACACAAUAUAUGAUACCCAAAUGAAUAAACUGCAUAAUGGCUGAAAGUGAAACCUGGUUCCCAGAAAGUGCUAAAGCAGUGCUAGAUUUCCCACAUCCCACUAAACCAUAAGAUACACAACCCCCCUUUAGUCUAGUUGAGCCUGCUAUGUGAAUCCAAAUACUACCUCCUCUAUCAAUAUAAUUUUUACUCCAUUCUUUUGUCCAUUGAAGUCAAUGGUUCAGUUAUGUUUAGAGAGCACCAUGAAAGAGUUCUUGAGAGUAUAUUUUAGUGGAUUCAUUUUACUGCUUUGAAUGAUAUGCAUCAAGCCAUCUGAUACCUUCAAAUGCUGAACCAUGCUUUGGGUUCUUCUUGUAUGGGACUGGUGGCAUUUCCCUUGUGGCUUACAGUUACUAUAGGACUUACAAGAAAGGCUGUUUUAUGUCAUUCUGCUGCCAGAGGCAAAGAGAAAGAUAGAGCCCCUCCCUUUUUUUUCUUCCAUGACCCUAUACUAAGUUGACGGGAAAUGAAACCCUUCCUCAACAUGGCUAACUUCAUCCUUCACUUAUCUUGAAGGCAACAUGCCGACUAGCAUAGAGAUUCUGAGAUGUCACCUUCCUUGGGGCCAGAUGAAGUGAAUAAGCAUCUAAUCAAGGGAGGAAUUCUUACUGCAAAAACAGGCAGACCUUCAUGGACGUUUUCUAUCCUGCCUUUCCUCUGGGAACUCAGGGUGGUUUAUAUUCAGAUGUCCCUUCAUUCCAUCCCCACUGUCCUGUGAAGUACUUAAGCCAUGGAUCCCAAGAAGGACAAAACUGGGGUGUCUGCAGCAUCCCUGGCUUUUGUGCUUCCAGGCAUCAGAGAGCAGUUCUCCAUCUUUGCAGAUCAGACUAUGAAUUUUUUUAAAAAAGCAUCACUCUGAAAUUUCUGAGAAGAUACCAGCAAAGUGAUAUAGAAGUUAUCUUAAUGCUCUGCAUGUUCUCCUACAGCAGCUAUAUAAGACUCAGGGACUAUCCAAAUGUUUUUGGCCUUUAAUUCCCAUGAUUCCUAACCAGCAUGGCCAAUAGCCAGGACUGAUGGAAACUGUGACCUAACAAUAUUCAGAAGAGCAGAGUUUCCCUAUCCUUGUGCUGAAGAUACCUGGCCACAGAUGGAAGCAAGUGCCCACCAUCCCUUAGUUUCCACGUCUACAAUUUUGAAUGACUUGCUCUGAUUCCAUAAAUACAUAUCUUUGUUCUUAUGAUAAUGUGCUUUUCCUUUUCUAUUUUAAAAUUAGCUGGAUACAUGGAGACUUUGAUGGUAAGAAGAUGAGGAUGUGAAUGGGAUUAUAUAGUCUUCAGAAUGGUGUCCUUUGACUCACUAAGCCCAAUCAAAUUGUAAAAGGCUGUGACUGAGGCAGUGUCUGGUGUGAAUGCAGCCUAGAAGGUCCAGGAUCUUGCCCAGAUCCCAAGGAGGCUUCCUUUGAAGGAGUAUGGAAUUCUAUGGACUUGAAAUUUUUGAAGAG
Long non-coding RNA from Candoia aspera, 2018 nucleotides. RefSeq lists it as uncharacterized. The transcript has 4 exons. The record is from RefSeq and is a predicted model, not a curated record. NCBI's taxonomy places the organism in Eukaryota, Metazoa, Chordata, Lepidosauria, Squamata, Candoiidae.